GGGGGUUAGCGUUGUUCGGAAUUACUGGGCGUAAAGCGCGCGUAGGCGGAUCGGAAAGUUGGGGGUGAAAUCCCCGGGGCUCAACCCCGGAACUGCCUCCAAAACUAUCGGUCUAGAGUUCGAGAGAGGUGAGUGGAAUUCCGAGUGUAGAGGUGAAAUUCGUAGAUAUUCGGAGGAACACCAGUGGCGAAGGCGGCUCACUGGCUCGAUACUGACGCUGAGGUGCGAAAGUGUGGGGAGCAAACAGGAUUAGAUACCCUGGUAGUCCACACCGUAAACGAUGAAUGCCAGACGUCAGCAAGCAUGCUUGUUGGUGUCACACCUAACGGAUUAAGCAUUCCGCCUGGGGAGUACGGUCGCAAGAUUAAAACUCAAAUGAAUUGACGGGGGCCCGCACAAGCGGUGGAGCAUGUGGUUUAAUUCGAUGCAACGCGAAGAACCUUACCAACCCUUGACAUUUAGUGACAACUCCAGAGAUGGAGCCUUCCUUCGGGACACUAGGACAGGUGCUGCAUGGCU
This 519-nucleotide ribosomal RNA is filed under the name uncultured Paracoccaceae bacterium. RNAcentral's name for it is "bacterial SSU rRNA". It matches the Rfam family "Bacterial small subunit ribosomal RNA", at positions 530 to 1050 of the family's 1533-position model. Lineage: Bacteria; Pseudomonadati; Pseudomonadota; Alphaproteobacteria; Rhodobacterales; Paracoccaceae. The record is from RNAcentral.